This 465-nucleotide ribosomal RNA is filed under the name uncultured bacterium. Its description in RNAcentral is "partial 16S ribosomal RNA". It matches the Rfam family "Bacterial small subunit ribosomal RNA", at positions 28 to 507 of the family's 1533-position model. The record is from RNAcentral.
GAUGAACGCUGGCGGCGUGCUUAACACAUGCAAGUCGAACGGAAAGGCUCCUGCUUGCAGGGGUACUCGAGUGGCGAACGGGUGAGUAACACGUGGGUGAUCUGCCCUGCACUUCGGGAUAAGCCUGGGAAACUGGGUCUAAUACAGGAUAGGACCACAUUUUGGAGGGUGUGGUGGAAAGUUUUUCGGUGUGGGAUGAGCUCGCGGCCUAUCAGCUUGUUGGUGGGGUAAUGGCCUACCAAGGCGUCGACGGGUAGCCGGCCUGAGAGGGUGUACGGCCACAUUGGGACUGAGAUACGGCCCAGACUCCUACGGGAGGCAGCAGUGGGGAAUAUUGCACAAUGGGCGCAAGCCUGAUGCAGCGACGCCGCGUGGGUGAUGACGGCCUUCGGGUUGUAAACUCCUUUCGCUAGGGACGAAGCGCAAGUGACGGUACCUGGAGAAGAAGCACCGGCUAACUACGUG